This 396-nucleotide ribosomal RNA is filed under the name bacterium enrichment culture DGGE gel band 346. Its description in RNAcentral is "bacterial SSU rRNA". It matches the Rfam family "Bacterial small subunit ribosomal RNA", at positions 996 to 1392 of the family's 1533-position model. The record is from RNAcentral.
AGCCGUAGAGAUACGGUCUCCCUUCGGGGCGGGUUCACAGGUGGUGCAUGGUCGUCGUCAGCUCGUGUCGUGAGAUGUUGGGUUAAGUCCCGCAACGAGCGCAACCCUCGCCCUGUGUUGCCAGCACGUCGUGGUGGGAACUCACGGGGGACCGCCGGGGUCAACUCGGAGGAAGGUGGGGAUGACGUCAGAUCAUCAUGCCCCUUACGUCCAGGGCUUCACGCAUGCUACAAUGGCCGGUACAACGGGAUGCGACACCGCGAGGUGGAGCGGAUCCCUUAAAACCGGUCUCAGUUCGGAUUGGAGUCUGCAACCCGACUCCAUGAAGGCGGAGUCGCUAGUAAUCGCGGAUCAGCAACGCCGCGGUGAAUGCGUUCCCGGGUCUUGUACACACCG